AAGUCGUAACAAGGUAACCGUAGGUGAACCUGCGGUUGGAUCAUUAACAAUGGUUUUCAAACCUUUAUUCUGUGCACUGUAUUGUUCUUGGUGUUUUCCGCCUCUUUCUUUGGAGAGGAGCGGAGGCACCGACAUUUUUAAACCAUGUAUUGUAUCGAGUCUUAAAUUUGUAUUAAAAUGAAAAACUUUUGACAACGGAUCUCUUGGCUCUC
RNAcentral lists this unclassified non-coding RNA (212 nucleotides) under fungal sp. RNAcentral's name for it is "partial internal transcribed spacer region". The stretch from base 1 to 46 matches the Rfam family "Eukaryotic small subunit ribosomal RNA", at positions 1786 to 1831 of the family's 1831-position model. Lineage: Eukaryota; Fungi. The record is from RNAcentral.